UGGGGAAUUUUGGACAAUGGGCGAAAGCCUGAUCCAGCAAUGCCGCGUGUGUGAAGAAGGCCUUCGGGUUGUAAAGCACUUUUGUCCGGAAAGAAAUCCUUGGCUCUAAUACAGUCGGGGGAUGACGGUACCGGAAGAAUAAGCACCGGCUAACUACGUGCCAGCAGCCGCGGUAAUACGUAGGGUGCAAGCGUUAAUCGGAAUUACUGGGCGUAAAGCGUGCGCAGGCGGUUUGCUAAGACCGAUGUGAAAUCCCCGGGCUCAACCUGGGAACUGCAUUGGUGACUGGCAGGCUAGAGUAUGGCAGAGGGGGGUAGAAUUCCACGUGUAGCAGUGAAAUGCGUAGAGAUGUGGAGGAAUACCGAUGGCGAAGGCAGCCCCCUGGGCAAUACUGACACUCAUGCACGAAAGCGUGGGGAGCAAACAGGAUUAGAUACCCUGGUAGUCCACGCCCUAAAACGAUGUCAACUAGUUGUUGGGGAUUCAUUUCCUUAGUAACGUAGCUAACGCGUGAAGUUGACCGCCUGGGGAGUACGGUCGCAAGAUUAAAACUCAAAUGAAUUGACGGGGUCAUAGCUGUUUCCU
This 585-nucleotide ribosomal RNA is filed under the name uncultured bacterium. RNAcentral describes it as "partial 16S ribosomal RNA". It matches the Rfam family "Bacterial small subunit ribosomal RNA", at positions 355 to 1375 of the family's 1533-position model. The record is from RNAcentral.